This is a long non-coding RNA of Pseudopipra pipra, 975 nucleotides long. RefSeq lists it as uncharacterized. The record is from RefSeq and is a predicted model, not a curated record. NCBI's taxonomy places the organism in Eukaryota, Metazoa, Chordata, Aves, Passeriformes, Pipridae. The transcript has 2 exons.
CUCGUGCUGGACCCCCGGAGCCACCAGCGCCGCUCCCGGUGUCGUUCUCCAGAACCCCCCGGUGCCCCGCCGUGCUGCACCCCCAGUGACUCCCAGCGCCCGCUCUCCCCGUGCUGGACCCCCAGGAGUUCCCAAAGCCGCUCUCUCCAGCCCGAGAGGCUCCCAGACGUGUCCUGGGCCGUGGGGCCAUGAUCGCACCUAGUGAGCACCAUCGGCUCCCUGGUGUCACGACUGCUGGGCACUGAUAGCUGCCGACAUUGGAGCUGAUGCUGCAGCACAGUCCCACAGCUCCUCUGCAGUUGGGGGUGCUCUGGCCCCUCCAGGAUGCUGCUCCAUGCGCACAUGAAGACACAGGCAUGGGCUGUGUCCCAUUCCCAGGAGAGGCAGCACUGGGCUAGUGAAGUGGUAGGGAAAUAAGAAAAUGAACCCAAACCAUCCUCUAUUGCCUCACAGCGGUAACUUGCAAGAAGGAGAAUCUUGGUGGGAAUCUAUGGUUCCAAGGGGUUGCUAAGGUGGCUCAGCCUAGCUGUGGCUUUGGGCAGACUUGGGGGCUCCUGAGGCUCCUCCCUGCCCAGCUGAUGUCCUUGGCUGCAGCCUGCAUUGUCCUGGUCAGGUAGCACAGCUGGAGCCAAAUAGCAGUUUAGACCAUGCCCUGGAUGAGGUCAGCCCACAGCAAAGGACAGGACAGGCUUCGGGCUGUAGCCCUAUUGCUCAGACAGGAGGAGAAUCAUGCUGUGAUUGGGAAAUUUUGUCUGACCACCCUGAGUAACCACUGUUGGCUGAAUGGCAUUCCCAGACUUCACACACUCUGGAUCAGUUGUGCUGGACACAAGGAAGGACAUGCUAUGCCACUCAGGACAACUCUGUGAGCCCAGGAACUGUGCACAGGGAGAAGCACGGUCUGCUUUGGGAGAAGGGGACACACAUCUGUAUUUGUGGUUUCAAUCUAUAAAUAAUAAAUACUGAGAGAGCAAA